RNAcentral lists this ribosomal RNA (297 nucleotides) under uncultured bacterium. RNAcentral describes it as "partial 16S ribosomal RNA". It matches the Rfam family "Bacterial small subunit ribosomal RNA", at positions 8 to 291 of the family's 1533-position model. The record is from RNAcentral.
AGAGUUUGAUCCUGGCUCAGCACAAACGCUGGCGGCGCGCCUAACAUAUGCAAGUCGCACGUGCAAGUCCCGCCAGGGACAAGUAAACUGGCGACCGGGUGAGUAAUACAUAGGUAACCUACUUCUAAGUUGGGAAUAACACUUCGAAAGGACUGCUAAUACCGAAUAAUAUUUUAUACACAAGCUGUACUAUCAAAGAUGGCCUCUCUACAAUGCUAUCGCUUAUCAAUGGGCUAUAUGCACCAUUAGCCUACUUGGUAGGGUAAUGGCCUACCAAGGCAAUACUGCUUAGCUGGU